This is a non-coding RNA of Pelobates cultripes (western spadefoot toad), 431 nucleotides long. Lineage: Eukaryota; Metazoa; Chordata; Amphibia; Anura; Pelobatidae. The record is from the annotation of a GenBank genome assembly.
AAGUAAAAAGAUCUGAUUUACUUUGACAAGGGCCAAAUAGUGAUGAUUAGUCAGAGCAUCUCCAUAACAGCAAGUCUUGUGGGGUGUUCCUGGUAUGCAGUGGUUAGUACCUACCAAAAGUGGUGCAUGAUAAACGAUGAACUGGCAUCUGAGUCAUGGGCACCCACGGCUCUUUGAUGCACGUGGGGAGCAACCUUGGGUCCUGGUAUUCAUGUGGAUGUUACUUUUGACAUGUAACAUCUAACUAGAGAUUGUUGCAGACCAUGUACACUCUUUUCAUUGCAAUGGUUUUCCCUGAUGGCAAUGGCCUGUUUCAGCAGGAUAAUGGACCCUGCCACACUGUAAAAAUGUUCAGAAAUAGUUUGAGGACCAUGACAAAGAGUUUAGGGUGUUGUGUUGGCUUCCAAAUCAUCCAGAUCUCAAUGCGAUUG